AACGAACGCUGGCGGCAGGCUUAACACAUGCAAGUCGAACGGUUGUAGCAAUACAGCAGUGGCGCACGGGUGAGUAACGCGUGGGAACGUGCCUUGAAGUUGGGAAUAACGUCGGGAAACUGACGCUAAUACCCGAUACGCCCUCCGGGGGAAAGAUUUAUCGCUUCAAGAUCGGCCCGCGUUAGAUUAGCUAGUUGGUGGGGUAAUGGCCUACCAAGGCUCCGAUCUAUAGCUGGUCUGAGAGGAUGACCAGCCACACUGGAACUGAGACACGGUCCAGACUCCUACGGGAGGCAGCAGUGGGGAAUAUUGGACAAUGGGGGAAACCCUGAUCCAGCCAUGCCGCGUGAGUGAUGAAGGCCUUAGGGUUGUAAAGCUCUUUUGUCAGGGAAGAUGAUGACGGUACCUGAAGAAUAAGCACCGGCUAACUUCGUGCCAGCAGCCGCGGUAAU
Molecule: ribosomal RNA, 452 nt
Filed under: uncultured bacterium
Lineage: Bacteria
Description: bacterial SSU rRNA
Rfam family: Bacterial small subunit ribosomal RNA
Source: RNAcentral